Molecule: ribosomal RNA, 253 nt
Filed under: uncultured bacterium
Lineage: Bacteria
Description: partial 16S ribosomal RNA
Rfam family: Bacterial small subunit ribosomal RNA
Source: RNAcentral
UACAGAGACUGCAAGCGUUAUUCGGAUUCACUGGGCGUAAAGGGUGCGCAGGUGGUUGUGUGUGUCAGGUGUGAAAUCCCGAGGCUUAACCUCGGGGCUGCGCCUGAAACUGCAUGACUAGAGCAUUGGAGAGGGUAGUGGAAUUCACGGUGUAGCAGUGAAAUGCGUAGAUAUCGUGAGGAACACCAGAGGCGAAGGCGACUACCUGGACAAUUGCUGACACUCAGGCACGAAAGCAUGGGGAGCAAAAGGG